This is a long non-coding RNA of Salvelinus sp. IW2-2015, 161 nucleotides long. RefSeq lists it as uncharacterized. NCBI's taxonomy places the organism in Eukaryota, Metazoa, Chordata, Actinopteri, Salmoniformes, Salmonidae. The record is from RefSeq and is a predicted model, not a curated record.
AAGAGGAGAAUGCUGAGACAGAGAAGAGAGAUGAAGGAAGAGACUGUCUGGCUUUGAGAUAGAUGAACACUGUGAAUUUCUGACAUCCACUCUCCAAUCAACUGACUCAUCUCUGAGAGAGCUGGGACAUGAGGAAUGGCACACUGGUGGAUGACCUCAAA